This is a long non-coding RNA of Phalaenopsis equestris, 237 nucleotides long. RefSeq lists it as uncharacterized. The transcript has 3 exons. The record is from RefSeq and is a predicted model, not a curated record. Lineage: Eukaryota; Viridiplantae; Streptophyta; Magnoliopsida; Asparagales; Orchidaceae.
CCAUUGUUCAAAUCUUCAUGGGUUUUGAUGCCGAAGAAGAUGGAUCCAAUGCCCGCAAUUAUGACCAAGAAGAGCAAUAAAAGAUGAAAUCUGUGUUCCGAAGCUUUGAGUCACGAAGAAGAAGCUGUUGAGGCGAGAGGGAGUGUUGCUGGUCUUGGUAUUCCAUGCUUCCCACAAACGUAUAGAGCAACAAUGGCAAAUGAGGCUGUUGUACAUUGGAGGAUAUUUCAGCAGGUC